CACGUAGGUGGCGAGCGUUGUCCGGAUUUACUGGGCGUAAAGGGAGCGUAGGCGGACUUUUAAGUGAGAUGUGAAAUACUCGGGCUCAACUUGAGUGCUGCAUUUCAAACUGGAAGUCUAGAGUGCAGGAGAGGAGAAUGGAAUUCCUAGUGUAGCGGUGAAAUGCGUAGAGAUUAGGAAGAACACCAGUGGCGAAGGCGAUUCUCUGGACUGUAACUGACGCUGAGGCUCGAAAGCGUGGGGAGCAAACAGG
Molecule: ribosomal RNA, 253 nt
Filed under: uncultured bacterium
Lineage: Bacteria
Description: partial 16S ribosomal RNA
Rfam family: Bacterial small subunit ribosomal RNA
Source: RNAcentral